Molecule: non-coding RNA, 439 nt
Filed under: Pongo abelii (Sumatran orangutan)
Lineage: Eukaryota; Metazoa; Chordata; Mammalia; Primates; Hominidae
Source: RNAcentral
GAAAGAAUCAAAGCCUCAAGCGUCACGUCUAGGAAUAGCGCUGGAGUCGGGCCAAGUCAUUAGAGACGAUGAGUAAUCCGGCUCUUCCAGAUCUUCCUGAGUGGUAGUGGCCACGGCUGAAGGCAGAGGGCUAUGUGGAGGCUGAAGGCAGAGGGCUGGGCCUUGGGCCUGGGUAAAGACAACUCUGGACAUGGAGUGGCAGGAGCGAUAAGCAGAACUACUGGUGACACUGUGGGAGAGAAAUUCUGCAAAAUAACAGCUGGGCAGCCCGGGACCCCAGGGAGUUGAAAUGGGACCUCGGAGACAUCAGGAUGUCCUGGAGAGGCACCAAGGCCCGAGGUCCCCCAGGGACCGUGGAGGGGGCAUUAAGCCCUGAAAACAGAUCAUGAUGCCCAUCCCCCCAGCAUAAUUAGAAAUAAAAACAACCGGGACAGUUAAA